UUGAUCCUGCCGGACCCCACUGCUAUCGGGAUAGGACUAAGACAUGCUAGUCGCGUGCCUCAGCCAAAACGAGGCACGGCACACAGCUCAGUAACACGUGGCUAAUCUGCCCUUGGGAUAGGAAUACCCCCGGGAAACUGGGACUAAUUCCCAAUAGGUGAAGAACUCUGGAAUGAGUCUCCACCAGAAAAGAGCUUACGUUAUGCUCGUAAGUUUCGCCCAAGGAUGAGGCCGCGACCGAUCAGGUUGUUGGCGAGGUAAUGGCUCACCAAGCCUUUUACCGGUGCGGGCCGUGGGAGCGGGAGCCCGGAGAUGGGUACUGAGACAAGGACCCAGGCCCUACGGGGCGCAGCAGUCGCGAAAACUUUGCAAUAAGCGCAAGCUUGACAGGGCUAUCCCGAGUGCCAUCCGCUGAGGAAGGCUUUUACCCAGUCUAGAACGCUGGGGGAAUAAGGAGAGGGCAAGUCUGGUGUCAGCCGCCGCGGUAAUACCAGCUCUCCGAGUGGUGUGGAUGUUUAUUGGGCCUAAAGCAUCCGUAGCUGGCUAAGUUAGUCCCCUGUUAAAUCCACCGAAUUAAUCGUUGGAUCGCGGGGGAUACUGCUUGGCUAGGGGACGAGAGAGGCAGACGGUAUUUUCGGGGUAGGGGUGAAAUCCUAUAAUCCCGGGAAGACCACCAGUGGCGAAGGCUGUCUGCUAGAACGCGCCCGACGGUGAGGGAUGAAAGCUGGGGGAGCGAACCGGAUUAGAUACCCGGGUAGUCCCAGCUGUAAACGAUGCAGGCUAGGCGUUUGGACGGCCACGUGCCGUUCUAGUGCCGCAGGGAAGCUGUUAAGCCUGCCGCCUGGGGAGUACGAUCGCAAGAUUGAAACUUAAAGGAAUU
This 880-nucleotide ribosomal RNA is filed under the name uncultured archaeon. RNAcentral's name for it is "bacterial SSU rRNA". It matches the Rfam family "Archaeal small subunit ribosomal RNA", at positions 8 to 866 of the family's 1478-position model. The record is from RNAcentral.